AUAAAUACGUUGAAAGAGAAUAGUAAAAAGAAGAUGUUUCACAGAGAGUAAGGAGACGGUGAGAGCCUUGCAAACUAUUUUUUUGAACCCGCUCUGGAGUAUAUAACUGAUAAAGUUAUUACGGCUGUAAUCCCGUUAUGAUUAUACAGAGUGAGUCUAUUUGACUAACUAGGGUGGUACCGCGGGUAAAGUUCUCGUCCCUUCU
RNAcentral lists this non-coding RNA (205 nucleotides) under Alkaliphilus metalliredigens. RNAcentral describes it as "T-box sequence". It matches the Rfam family "T-box leader". Rfam says of the family: Uncharged tRNA acts as the effector for transcription antitermination of genes in the T-box leader family. T-boxes are found upstream of many aminoacyl-tRNA synthetase genes and some amino acid biosynthetic genes usually in Gram-positive bacteria. Lineage: Bacteria; Bacillati; Bacillota; Clostridia; Peptostreptococcales; Natronincolaceae. The record is from RNAcentral.